Molecule: ribosomal RNA, 483 nt
Filed under: uncultured bacterium
Lineage: Bacteria
Description: bacterial SSU rRNA
Rfam family: Bacterial small subunit ribosomal RNA
Source: RNAcentral
GACGAACGCUGGGCGGCGUGCCUAACACAUGCAAGUCGAGCGGAGUUGACAAGAGGAAGUUUUCGGAUGGAAUCUUGCCAGCUUAGCGGCGGACGGGUGAGUAACGCGUGAGCGACCAACCUUGCACAGGGGGAUAACGGACCGAAAGGUUCACUAAUACCGCAUGAGACCACGGUGUUGCAUGACACAGAGGUCAAAGGAGCAAUCCGGUGCAAGACGGGCUCGCGUCCGAUUAGGUAGUUGGUGGGGUAAUGGCCCACCAAGCCUAUGAUCGGUAGCCGACCUGAGAGGGUGAUCGGCCACAUUGGAACUGAGAUACGGUCCAAACUCCUACGGGAGGCAGCAGUGGGGAAUAUUGGGCAAUGGGGGAAACCCUGACCCAGCAACGCCGCGUGAAGGAAGAAGGUUUUCGGAUUGUAAACUUCUGUCCUUGGUGAAGAGAAGAAGACGGUAGCCAAGGAGGAAGCCCCGGCUAACUACGUG